GACGAACGCUGGCGGCGUGCUUAACACAUGCAAGUCGAGCGGUAAGGCCCUUUCGGGGGUACACGAGCGGCGAACGGGUGAGUAACACGUGGGUGACCUGCCCUCAGCUCUGGGAUAAGCCUGGGAAACUGGGUCUAAUACCGGAUAUGACUCCAUGACGCAUGUUGUGGGGUGGAAAGCCUUGUGCGGCUGAGGAUGGGCCCGCGGCCUAUCAGCUUGUUGGUGGGGUGAGGCCUACCAAGGCGACGACGGGUAGCCGGCCUGAGAGGGCGACCGGCCACACUGGGACUGAGACACGGCCCAGACUCCUACGGGAGGCAGCAGUGGGGAAUCUUGCGCAAUGGGCGAAAGCCUGACGCAGCGACGCCGCGUG
RNAcentral lists this ribosomal RNA (373 nucleotides) under uncultured bacterium. RNAcentral describes it as "bacterial SSU rRNA". It matches the Rfam family "Bacterial small subunit ribosomal RNA", at positions 28 to 403 of the family's 1533-position model. The record is from RNAcentral.